Molecule: small RNA, 108 nt
Filed under: Arabidopsis thaliana (thale cress)
Lineage: Eukaryota; Viridiplantae; Streptophyta; Magnoliopsida; Brassicales; Brassicaceae
Description: ATSL214460
Rfam family: small nucleolar RNA snoR137
Source: RNAcentral
AAUUGCUUCAUAAUGGUGAACUCUCUUAGAUAUAAAAAAAGUGAGAGAUGUUCAAGUUUCCGGAGCAAAUAUUAAACUGGCCAGAAUUUAACAGCUCUGUGUUUAAUU